UCCCAACCCAAUGUGAACCAUUACCAAACUGUUGCCUCGGCGGGGUCACGCCCCGGGUGCGUCGCAGCCCCGGAACCAGGCGCCCGCCGGAGGGACCAACCAAACUCUUUCUGUAGUCCCCUCGCGGACGUUAUUUCUUACAGCUCUGAGCAAAAAUUCAAAAUGAAUCAAAACUUUCAACAACGGAUCUCUUGGUUCUGGCAUCGAUGAAGAACGCAGCGAAAUGCGAUAAGUAAUGUGAAUUGCAGAAUUCAGUGAAUCAUCGAAUCUUUGAACGCACAUUGCGCCCGCCAGUAUUCUGGCGGGCAUGCCUGUCCGAGCGUCAUUUCAACCCUCGAACCCCUCCGGGGGGUCGGCGUUGGGGAUCGGGAACCCCUAAGACGGGAUCCCGGCCCCGAAAUACAGUGGCGGUCUCGCCGCAGCCUCUCCUGCGCAGUAGUUUGCACAACUCGCACCGGGAGCGCGGCGCGUCCACGUCCGUAAAACACCCAACUUCUGAAAUGUUGACCUCGGAUCAGGUAGGAAUACCCGCUGAACUUAAGGCAUAUC
RNAcentral lists this ribosomal RNA (549 nucleotides) under Trichoderma koningiopsis. Its description in RNAcentral is "eukaryotic LSU rRNA". The stretch from base 172 to 325 matches the Rfam family "5.8S ribosomal RNA". The record is from RNAcentral. Lineage: Eukaryota; Fungi; Ascomycota; Sordariomycetes; Hypocreales; Hypocreaceae.